AUGAAACAUUGGGAUAAGAACUCUAUAGUUUGCAAAAUAAAUAUCAUAAAUCCAGAUUAUAUAAUUAAGUCAGGACCAAUAGAAGCUACACCCAAAGAUAUCGAAGAGUUCAAAAUGCAUAUUGAAGAGUUAUUAAAGUUAAAAGCUAUAAGAGAAAGCAGAAGCCCUCAUCGAUCUGCUGCUUUUAUAGUUAGAAAUCAUGCUGAAGAAGUUAGAGGUAAAUCUAGAAUGGUAAUUAAUUUUAAAAGGCUUAAUGAUAAUACAGUUGAUGAUGCAUAUAAUAUACCUAAUAAGCAGGAAUGGAUUAAUAGAAUACAAGGAAGUAAAUAUUUCUCUAAAUUCGACUUAAAGGCAGGAUUUUGGCAAGUAAAAAUGGCUGAAGAAUCUAUUCCUUGGACAGCAUUUACUUGUCCACAAGGCCGUUAUGAAUGGCUAGUAAUGCCAUUAGGUUUAAAGAAUGCACCUGCACUAUUUCAAAGAAAGAUGCAAAAUAUAUUUAAUGAGAAUCAAGCAUUUAUAUUAGUAUACGUAGAUGAUCUGUUAAUAUUCUCAAAAUCAUACAAAGAGCAUAUAGCCCAUCUUGAAGUGUUCUUUCGAAAGGUAGAACAAAAUGGAUUCAUACUAUCCAAAAAGAAGAUGGAAAUUUGCAAAGAAAAAAUAAAUUUCCUUGGUCAUGAAAUAGGAGAAGGAAAGAUAUAUCUACAAGAACAUAUUGCCAAGAAAAUAUUAGAGUUUCCUGAUAAUAUGAGUGAUAAAAAGGUUUUACAGUAG
RNAcentral lists this ribosomal RNA (771 nucleotides) under Triticum aestivum (bread wheat). Its description in RNAcentral is "partial small subunit ribosomal RNA". Lineage: Eukaryota; Viridiplantae; Streptophyta; Magnoliopsida; Poales; Poaceae. The record is from RNAcentral.